RNAcentral lists this ribosomal RNA (468 nucleotides) under uncultured bacterium. Its description in RNAcentral is "partial 16S ribosomal RNA". It matches the Rfam family "Bacterial small subunit ribosomal RNA", at positions 28 to 507 of the family's 1533-position model. The record is from RNAcentral.
GACGAACGCUGGCGGCGGGCUUAACACAUGCAAGUCGAACGGAAAGGCCCUGCUUUUGUGGGGUGCUCGAGUGGCGAACGGGGGAGUAACACGUGAGUAACCUGCCCUUGACUUUGGGAUAACUUCAGGAAACUGGGGCUAAUCCCGGAUAGGAGCUCCUGCUGCAUGGUGGGGGUUGGAACGUUUCGGCGGUUGGGGAUGGACUCGCGGCUUAUCAGCUUGUUGGUGGGGUAGUGGCUUACCAAGGCUUUGACGGGUAGCCGGCCUGAGAGGGUGACCGGCCACCUUGGGACUGAGAUACGGACCAGACUCCUACGGGAGGCAGCAGUGGGGAAUAUUGCACAAUGGGCGGAAGCCUGAUGCAGCAACGCUGCGUGCGGGAUGACGGCCUGCGGGUUGUAAACCGCUUUCGCCUGUGACGAAGCGUGAGUGACGGUAAUGGGUAAAGAAGCACCGGCUAACUACGUG